AACGAACGCUGGCGGCAUGCCUAACACAUGCAAGUCGAACGAGACCUUCGGGUCUAGUGGCGCACGGGUGCGUAACGCGUGGGAACCUGCCCUUAGGUUCGGAAUAACUCCCCGAAAGGGGUGCUAAUACCGGAUAAUGUCUUCGGACCAAAGAUUUAUCGCCUUUGGAUGGGCCCGCGUUGGAUUAGCUAGUUGGUAGGGUAAAAGCCUACCAAGGCGACGAUCCAUAGCUGGUCUGAGAGGAUGAUCAGCCACACUGGGACUGAGACACGGCCCAGACCCCACCGGGGGGCGGCGGGGGGAAAAUUUGGAAAAUGGGCGAAACCUUACUCCGCAAAGGCCGGGUGGGUUAUAAAGGCCUUAGGUUUGUAAAGCCCUUUUCCCCGGGAUAUAAAGAAAAGAACCGGGGAAAAAACCCCCGGCUACCCCCGU
This 432-nucleotide ribosomal RNA is filed under the name uncultured bacterium. Its description in RNAcentral is "partial 16S ribosomal RNA". It matches the Rfam family "Bacterial small subunit ribosomal RNA", at positions 29 to 506 of the family's 1533-position model. The record is from RNAcentral.